CCCGAUUCACAAAAGGUGUAAAAAGCUACGACCUGUACCUCUAUAGGAUUUAAGCCCGACUUCACUAAACCACAAUGAGCCUUUCAACAAAAAAUUACAAACAUAUAUAACCUAAGGAGUUAUAAACUCUAAUUCCUAACAACUCACAAACCUCCCAAUUGAUGUGUUCCACUCUUCGAGUUAUCCCAACUUGUAAUUCAUUUUAUAGCACAACUUAAACUAAGACUAGAUCAACAUUACAACUCAACGAACAAAUCCUAAUACAUGAAUGCUCAAACUCUUAACUAAACACUACACUAGGACCAGGUUCUUCAAUGUGUUUCUUCGGUAUUCAAGUAGCACUUACAAAGUCGAUCUGCCAAUUGCCUUUUUGCUAUAUGAGUGUGUAAGUAACUUUAAGCGACUGAUCUUCUAUUUAAGCACUACUCUUCAUAGAGUUGUUCUUCAAUUACAAUGUCUUAUCAACUAGAACUCUCUUUGUUUAGAGUUCUACUUCAAGUGAAACUCCUUCUUCAAAUCAAACUCCUUGCCUCUUUAGUGUUGUAGUCGAACUCUAACUCUUCAAUUUAGCACAUGUUUAUUUUUUUUUUAUUUUCAAAAGUAGCCAUCAUCCGUUUCUUGAUUAUUGCACACUUGUCUUUAUUCAUUAGUGAGCUACAAAUUUAGCUCUUUGAGAUAGUGUAUCUGUGAACUAGCUUGACUUAUAUGUUUUAUGUCACUUUGUCAAUCUUCAAAAUUGCAUAGAACCCAACAAGGAUAGCUAUAGUAAAGCUCUAAACUCAAAAAAAAGUAUAGAAAUAAGAAAAAUGACCUAGAGAGUCAUUACACAGAUCUACGAUUUGAAUGAAUUGGAGAAGUAUGAAGGACCAUCUAUUUUAAGAUUGAAUUUUAUAUCAGUUUAAUGAUAUAAAAGUUUGGAUUUUUCAUCAUUUUUGGUUUUGUAUGAUUUGAGAAAAGAGUGGUAAGAAGAAUAUUUUAUAUUUUUUUCUUUGACAUUUUACUUAUACAACUCCAAUCUUGGUUUCGAUUAUCAAACAUGCUUGAGAAAUAGAGGAUACACAUCUCAACUUAAUUAUUCUAGAAGAUUUUCAAAUUUAUUUUCAUACUAGGAUAAUGAAAUGUACUCCAACAUGGUAGAAAGCCAGGCUCUCUUAAUCGGGCUUGAGCUGGGGGUGGAAUAUGGGGUCGAUGCAAAGAUAGUAAAAACAGACUCACAACCUCUGACAAUGCAUAAUGUCCACAUAGUGGAAGGUGUAACGAAGAGGUUGGAGGAAAAAGAAAUCUAAGUUUAAACACUGUCACUACCACAUCCACAAAAGAAAACUAAUCUUCACAACCCUUGCUAGACUAUUAUGAGAGGUCACAGGCCUUUUUAUGCUGAAAAAAAUGGAGAUGGUAUUUUUCUAGAUUCCAAAGUUGAAAAACAAAGAGAUGUUUUAUUCCAUCUUAGCAAAGGAAGUGAAGUAAUACACAUUUACGUAUCUACCAAACAAGAUGUAAAGGUCUUCGUAUAUUGAGCAGGGACUUUGGCCCUACCUGAUUCAUAUCAAUAAAGGUGACAAGAAUUAAUAAAGAAAAAAAAAAUUAUAAACCACCCAUUAAAAUUGUCUCAAAUUUAGAAAAUAACUUAAAUUUUUCAGGGGUCUUAUGACCCCUCCCCCUUAACAAUUUCACAUUGAUAUUAAUAUGUCAUUUAUAGUCAUCUGGCAUAGUGAAUGUUGUUCACCCUCUCAAGGAGAGUGAGAGAGAUGAAUAAAAAAUAUAAUAUUUCAUAUUUAUUAAAAUUAAGGUACAAAUACCCCCAUACUUUCUCCGAAAUUUUUAUGACACACUUAAAUUUUAUGAAAAUUCUGUUACCACCCUAAAAUUAUCCUUUCUGUAUUUUUAUGUUUCCUUUGUUUUGACAUGGCUAUCAGAUCAGCACAAAAGAAGCACAAAAAUAUUCUACCACUUAGCAUCCACGUCAGCAAAAAGGAGCACUAGAAUACAGAAAAAAUGAGACCAUCAUAAAAUUUAGAUAUGUCAUAGCAACUACGAGUAGAGUUUACCGUGGUACUUGUCUCUUAUCCCAAUUAUUUUCUACUUUUUCCCCUUUUCUUUCUAUUUUUUAACUUUUUUUUCAAUUUUUAUUUUUUAUUAAGUUCUUUUCUUUCUCUUGUCAUCUCCAUCGAACAAAAUCUUGCUCUCUUUUAUGUUCAAAAGUUUUGCUACCCUUUCGUUCACCAUACCUAUUAUGUGUCCUUCAAAUUCUCUGUUUUAUCAUUCUUCGAGCUAUUACUGCAGUUUAUGAUUAGAAAUUUCACCGAUCGUGAAAAUGGAGCAAUGCUUGAGAAAUUAAUUGGAGGAAAUACUCCUCUUUUAU
This 2362-nucleotide long non-coding RNA is filed under the name Capsicum annuum. Its description in RNAcentral is "long non-coding RNA (CANN_LNC014545)". Lineage: Eukaryota; Viridiplantae; Streptophyta; Magnoliopsida; Solanales; Solanaceae. The record is from RNAcentral.